This is a non-coding RNA of Oryza glumipatula, 200 nucleotides long. Lineage: Eukaryota; Viridiplantae; Streptophyta; Magnoliopsida; Poales; Poaceae. The record is from Rfam.
AAUAAAUCUUGGUUUCCAUGUCCAACGUUUGAUCUUCCGUCUUAUUUAAAAAAAUUAUGAAAAAAAUUAAAAAGACAAGUUACGUAUAAAAUAUUAAUCAUGUUUUAUCAUCUAACAACAAUAAAAAUACGAAUUAUAAAAAAAUUUCAUAUAAGACGGACAGUAAGAGUUGGGCACGCAAACUUAGGGUUUGCCUUUUU